CAGUCGUGCUGGCGCGAAAUCAACCCCCUCGUCGGGAGAUCACUGUUGUGGCGAGCCUCAAAACCGUCACGGCGUGUGAUCUCACGAUGAGUGGGAGCACUUUCGUGUCCGCUGGUUAACAUCAAUUUCGAACGUCAUAAAAAGGCUGGAGGGAUGUGGCUCCUUCGGGAGUGUUUUAUAACCUUUAGCGGAAUGUGGUGGUCGGGAUUGAGGAUUGCAACGAAUACCUUUAGGGCUGUUCCACCUGGCCUCUCUUUGGUAUCCUGGUGACGACAGCUUGCUGACGUCGUUGGGAUUCGCCUUUGAACAGGCUAGAGUGUGAGCAAA
Molecule: ribosomal RNA, 327 nt
Filed under: uncultured Glomeromycotina
Lineage: Eukaryota; Fungi; Glomeromycota
Description: eukaryotic LSU rRNA
Source: RNAcentral